GACGAACGCUGGCGGCGUGCUUAACACAUGCAAGUCGAGCGGAAAGGCCCUGCUUUUGUGGGGUGCUCGAUUGGCGAACGGGUGCGUAACACGUGAGUAUCCUGACCUUGACUUUCGGAUAACUUCAGGAAACUGGAGCUAAUACCGGAUCGGAGCUUCUUCUGCUUGGUGGGUGUUGGUAAGUUUCGGCGGUUGGGGAUGGACUCGAGGCUUGUCUGCUUGUUGGUGGGGUGUUGGCUUACCAAGGCUUUGGCGGGUAGCCGGCCGGAGAGGGGUACCGGCAACAUUGGGACUGAGAUACGGCCCAGAGUAGUACGGGAGGCAGCAGUGGGGAAUAUUGCACAAUGGGGGGAAGCCUGGUGCAGAAAGGCCGCGUGAGGGAUGACGGACUUCUGGUAGUAAACGGCAAAGGGCUGUGACGAAGCGUGAGUGACGGUAACGGGUAAAGAAGCACCGGCUAACUACGUG
RNAcentral lists this ribosomal RNA (468 nucleotides) under uncultured bacterium. RNAcentral's name for it is "partial 16S ribosomal RNA". It matches the Rfam family "Bacterial small subunit ribosomal RNA", at positions 28 to 507 of the family's 1533-position model. The record is from RNAcentral.